Molecule: ribosomal RNA, 121 nt
Filed under: Helianthus annuus (common sunflower)
Lineage: Eukaryota; Viridiplantae; Streptophyta; Magnoliopsida; Asterales; Asteraceae
Also listed under: 1 other name
Source: RNAcentral
GGUUGCGAUCAUACCAGCACUAAUGCACCGGAUUCCAUCAGAACUCCGCAGUUAAGCGUGCUUGGGCGAGAGUAGUACUAGGAUGGGUGACCCCCUGGGAAGUCCUCGUGUUGCAACCCCC